GGCGACGGCGGCGGGGGAGGUGCUCCUGCAGGGUGGGUGCUGCUCCUGCAGGAAGAAGAAGAAGAAGGGUGGGUGCUGCUCCGGCAGGAGAAAGAAGAAGAAGAAGAAGAAUAGAAGAGGAAAAAAAAGAAAGAAAUGAAAUAGUGCAAAAUUUUUCUAAAUGGUGCAAUAUUAGCCUAAAGAGUAUAAAGUUAUUUUAAAAGAGUGUAAUUUUUAUAUGAAAUAGUAUAAUUUUUAUUAAAAAAGUGCAAUAUUUUUUUAAAACAGUGUAAUUUUUUUUUAAGAGUGCAAUUUUAUCAUCUUCUUUCUUCUCCUAUAUUUUUUGAUCUUUUCUGUAAGAAAAAAAUAAUUUUUUUUUAUUAUUCUUAUUUUUUUCUAUAAUUUUUUGUUUAUCACC
RNAcentral lists this long non-coding RNA (397 nucleotides) under Ananas comosus (pineapple). Its description in RNAcentral is "long non-coding RNA (ACOM_LNC026910)". Lineage: Eukaryota; Viridiplantae; Streptophyta; Magnoliopsida; Poales; Bromeliaceae. The record is from RNAcentral.